AACAUUGUAAUGAUGCUCUUCUAACGUGUAAGAAGAUCUUUUCAACUUGAAUAAAAUAUACUUGUUAUGCUUGGCUUCUAAGUUGG
This is a small nucleolar RNA of Elaeis guineensis (African oil palm), 86 nucleotides long. RefSeq annotates it as small nucleolar RNA R24. Lineage: Eukaryota; Viridiplantae; Streptophyta; Magnoliopsida; Arecales; Arecaceae. The record is from RefSeq and is a predicted model, not a curated record.